AUUGAACGCUAGCGGGAUGCCUUACACAUGCAAGUCGAACGGCAGCGCGGACUUCGGUCUGGCGGCGAGUGGCGAACGGGUGAGUAGUGUAUCGGAACGUGCCCAGUAGCGGGGACAACCACUCGAAAGAGUGGCUAAUACCGCAUACGCCCUACGGGGAAAGGGGGGAUCGCAAGACCUCUCACUAUUGGAGCGGCCGAUAUCGGAUUAGCUAGUUGGUGGGGUAAAGGCCUACCAAGGCGACGAUCCGUAGCUGGUUUGAGAGGACGACCAAGCCACACUGGGACUGAGACACGGCCCAGACUCCUACGGGAGGCAGCAGUGGGGAAUUUUGGACGAUGGGGAAACCCUGAUCCAGCCAUUCCGCGUGUGCGAUGAAGGCCUCGGU
Molecule: ribosomal RNA, 388 nt
Filed under: uncultured bacterium
Lineage: Bacteria
Description: bacterial SSU rRNA
Rfam family: Bacterial small subunit ribosomal RNA
Source: RNAcentral